RNAcentral lists this unclassified non-coding RNA (197 nucleotides) under fungal sp. RNAcentral's name for it is "partial internal transcribed spacer region". The stretch from base 1 to 46 matches the Rfam family "Eukaryotic small subunit ribosomal RNA", at positions 1786 to 1831 of the family's 1831-position model. The record is from RNAcentral. Lineage: Eukaryota; Fungi.
AAGUCGUAACAAGGUAACCGUAGGUGAACCUGCGGUUGGAUCAUUAACAAAUAUAGAAGGUCUUCAAGACCUCUCUAACCCUUUGUGAAUCGUUUACCAUCUAGGCUCCUGCCUAAUAAACUUUGUAUAAACUUAUAGUCUAUAAACGCUUUUUAUUUAAUUAAAAACAACUUUUAACAACGGAUCUCUAGGCUCUC